RNAcentral lists this ribosomal RNA (293 nucleotides) under uncultured bacterium. RNAcentral's name for it is "partial 16S ribosomal RNA". It matches the Rfam family "Bacterial small subunit ribosomal RNA", at positions 505 to 796 of the family's 1533-position model. The record is from RNAcentral.
GUGCCAGCAGCCGCGGUAAGACAUAGGUCGCGAACGUUAUCCGGAAUUAUUGGGCGUAAAGGAUGCGUAGGUGGUUCGGUAAGUUACUGGUGGGAAAUCGAGGCUCAACCUCGUGGAAGUCAGUAAUACUAUCGAGCUUGAGUGCAGGAGAGGUUAAUGGAAUUUUAUGUGGAGCGGUAAAAUGCGUAGAUAUAUAAAAGAACAUCAAUUGGCGAAGGCAGUUAACUAUUCUGCUACUGACAUUGAGGCAUGAAAGCGUGGGGAGCAAAACGGAUUAGAUACCCGCGUAGUCC